GACGAACGCUGGCGGCGUGCUUAACACAUGCAAGUCGAACGGAAAGGCCCUGCUUUUGUGGGGUGCUCGAGUGGCGAACGGGUGAGUAACACGUGAGUAACCUGCCCUUGACUUUGGGAUAACUUCAGGAAACUGGGGCUAAUACCGGAUAGGAGCUCCUGCUGCAUGGUGGGGGUUGGAAAGUUUGGCGGUUGGGGAUGGACUCGCGGCUUAUCAGCUUGUUGGUGGGGUAGUGGCUUACCAAGGCUUUGACGGGUAGCCGGCCUGAGAGGGUGACCGGCCACAUUGGGACUGAGAUACGGCCCAGACUCCUACGGGAGGCAGCAGUGGGGAAUAUUGCACAAUGGGCGGAAGCCUGAUGCAGCAACGCCGCGUGCGGGAUGACGGCCUUCGGGUUGUAAACCGCUUUCGCCUGUGACGAAGCGUGAGUGACGGUAAUGGGUAAAGAAGCACCGGCUAACUACGUG
This 467-nucleotide ribosomal RNA is filed under the name uncultured bacterium. RNAcentral's name for it is "partial 16S ribosomal RNA". It matches the Rfam family "Bacterial small subunit ribosomal RNA", at positions 28 to 507 of the family's 1533-position model. The record is from RNAcentral.